UCGUGCUAGACGGGGAGGUAGCGGUGCCCUGUAACCCGCAAUCCGCUAUAGCGGGGUUGAAGCCUGUACUGAGGUCCUAUUACGUGUGGUCUGCCCCAAAUAAGUGGCGUUGACGAUUGGGUCCUGUGCAACGGAAUGUCAUGAACCUCGUCAGGUCCGGAAGGAAGCAGCGAUAAGUGAAUUUUUUCGUGUGCCGCAGGGUUGCCUGGUCUGAGCUAACUGUUUGGGUUACGCACGGGUGAUAGCGAUCGAAGGCAGGCGCACGA
This 266-nucleotide signal recognition particle RNA is filed under the name Desulfuribacillus stibiiarsenatis. Its description in RNAcentral is "Bacterial large signal recognition particle RNA". It matches the Rfam family "Bacterial large signal recognition particle RNA". From Rfam's summary of the family: The signal recognition particle (SRP) is a universally conserved ribonucleoprotein involved in the co-translational targeting of proteins to membranes. Lineage: Bacteria; Bacillati; Bacillota; Desulfuribacillia; Desulfuribacillales; Desulfuribacillaceae. The record is from Rfam by way of RNAcentral.